This 496-nucleotide ribosomal RNA is filed under the name uncultured bacterium. Its description in RNAcentral is "partial 16S ribosomal RNA". It matches the Rfam family "Bacterial small subunit ribosomal RNA", at positions 28 to 506 of the family's 1533-position model. The record is from RNAcentral.
GAUGAACGCUGGCGGCGUGCCUAAUACAUGCAAGUCGAGCGAACGGACGAGAAGCUUGCUUCUCUGAUGUUAGCGGCGGACGGGUGAGUAACACGUGGAUAACCGACCUAUAAGACUGGGAUAACUUCGGGAAACCGUAUCUAAUACCGGAUAAUAUUUUGAACCGCAUGGUUCAUAAGUGAAAGACGGUCUUGCUGUCACUUAUAGAUGGAUCCGCGCUGCAUUAGCUAGUUGGUAAGGUAACGGCUUACCAAGGCAACGAUGCAUAGCCGACCUGAGAGGGUGGUCGGCCAAACGGGACCUGAGCAACGGCCAAGACUCCUACGGGAGGCAGCAGGAGGGAAUCUUCCGCAAUGGGCGAAAGCCUGACGGAGCAACGCCGCGUGAGUGAGGAAGGUCUUCGGAUCGUAAAACUCUGUUAUUAGGGAAGAACAUAUGUGUAAGUAACUGUGCACAUCUUGACGGUACCUAAUAAGAAAGCCACGGCUAACUACGU